UACAGAGGUCUCAAGCGUUGUUCGGAUUCAUUGGACGUAAAGGGUGCGUAGGCGGCGCGGUAAGUCGGGUGUGAAAUCUCGGAGCUUAACUCCGAAACUGCAUUCGAUACUGCCGUGCUUGAGGACUGGAGAGGAGACUGGAAUUUACGGUGUAGCGGUGAAAUGCGUAGAUAUCGUAAGGAAGACCAGUGGCGAAGGCGGGUCUCUGGACAGUUCCUGACGCUGAGGCACGAAGGCCAGGGGAGCAAACAGG
This 253-nucleotide ribosomal RNA is filed under the name uncultured bacterium. RNAcentral's name for it is "partial 16S ribosomal RNA". It matches the Rfam family "Bacterial small subunit ribosomal RNA", at positions 524 to 776 of the family's 1533-position model. The record is from RNAcentral.